RNAcentral lists this transfer RNA (74 nucleotides) under Streptomyces phage Angela. RNAcentral's name for it is "tRNA-Lys". It matches the Rfam family "tRNA". From Rfam's summary of the family: Transfer RNA (tRNA) molecules are approximately 80 nucleotides in length. Their secondary structure includes four short double-helical elements and three loops (D, anti-codon, and T loops). Further hydrogen bonds mediate the characteristic L-shaped molecular structure. tRNAs have two regions of fundamental functional importance: the anti-codon, which is responsible for specific mRNA codon recognition, and the 3' end, to which the tRNAs corresponding amino acid is attached (by aminoacyl-tRNA synthetases). tRNAs cope with the degeneracy of the genetic code in two manners: having more than one tRNA (with a specific anti-codon) for a particular amino acid; and 'wobble' base-pairing, i.e. permitting non-standard base-pairing at the 3rd anti-codon position. Lineage: Duplodnaviria; Heunggongvirae; Uroviricota; Caudoviricetes; Stanwilliamsviridae. The record is from RNAcentral.
GUUCCGGUAGCUCAGUUGGUAGAGCACCAUCCUCUUAAGUUGGGGGCCCUCGGUUCGAUUCCGAGUCGGAACAC